Numida meleagris (helmeted guineafowl) is the source of this 1835-nucleotide long non-coding RNA. RefSeq lists it as uncharacterized. The record is from RefSeq and is a predicted model, not a curated record. The transcript is spliced from 7 exons. Lineage: Eukaryota; Metazoa; Chordata; Aves; Galliformes; Numididae.
UGUCCCUUCACGCCGUUCUGCUCUCCGCGGCCCCUCAGCCCUGUUGCCCCGGGUGCUGCGGCCCUGCGGUGAAACGCAGCUGUUAGACCCGAGGGAAACUGCUAAGCGCACACAGCGAUCCGCGGGGUCCGUACAGGUAGUUAAGAAACCUACAGAAAUCCUCCCUCAGAAACCUCAUAGACAGGAUCAGCGCUUGUCAAAACUGAGAGUUUGGAGGUGGCCCUGCUCCUCUCUGUGUGCUUUAAAUAUCCUGAAAAUCUUUCUGUUCACAUAAAACCUUUCAGAACAGUAGAGAGCUCAGAACACUAACAUCAGUCUCUGUCUGCAACCAGGAAGAAAAAAAGGGAACACGGCACACACCCUGCAUGCUGAGGACUGCUGCGUCAUUGUGCUGGGCCACUGAACCACGAGGUCUUUUUCAGUCAGAAAGAAGACUACUUGUACUGAAGUCAGCUAUUUAGUGACAGGCUGAUAUUCUGGACAAGGAGUUCACACCUCAAGUAUGAAGAAUAGUGAUGAUUGGGGACUAUCAGGGAAAUGUGUAAAGGGCUCUGGAUGUAUAAACCACUGCAAGAGAUCUCUGGAAGAAUGUACGUGGAAAAGAACUUCUUCAGAUAUAUACAGGAAUGUGGUUCUGUAGGAUCAGGCAGCAGGAUCUGCCCUUGUGUCUAACAGAAGCACGCAGAUAUCUGGUAGAGGUCUACUUAAAAUGGAGCACAAUGAGUCAUUUGGCUAUGCCAUCACAAAGGAAACUGCUGUAGGCUCAGGAACUGCCUUUCCCAAGCUCCAUCAAAGCAGCCUCCUGAGCAUUUCUGCCUGGUAAGUGAGAUACACUAGAGGAUCUUUGCAUUCCCGGAAACAUCUGUUGCUUCAUCCCACAAAUUAACUGACACAAGCUUUUGUCUGCAUUCCCAAUCUCAUUUUUUUUCCACCUAGGGCUAUUAUUCUCUAAUUAUUUCAUGUAUCUUCAGAUAUUUAAAUGCUUAAGCUCUGGGGAAACCCCUGAUGCUGAGGAUACUGUCGGACAAACUAACUGACUCUCACGUGCAAGUGUCUCUUACAGGCUCUUGUCUGCCAAGCAAAGAUCCUUUGGGAGAUGCUAAACUGCCUAAGACAGGAGCCAACAUCAUACCUACAGAAGUGUCUUCUACAUAUUUUAGACCAAGUUUCACUGCAAAUCACCAGGAGUUAAAGUCACUUGGAUUUAGCCAGUGUUACCCAGGAGGCUGGCUGAGACUCCGAGGUCAUGUUAACGUGGUACCCCCUAGUGUCUGCGGGCCGGAGAGACAGCACUACAGCCAUUGCAGAGAAUCCUUCAUGUGAACGGAAGUCAUUUCGCUGUCAACGCUAUCAGCUCAGAAGCAUCUAUUUCUUUACAUUGCCUUUUUCCUUCAUCGCCCCAUCCACGUACAGCAUACUCACACAGGGAGCAGAUGGUCUGAGCUGAGUGUUUGUUCUAGUUUUACCUCGGUUUACCUCUAGUUUUGUGUCCAUCUAUAGCCAUUAUUUUUUUUGCCAUCUCUUGGGUGUUCUGCCUUUUUUCUUUUUUUGUUUGGUUAGGAGGGGGGGGAGCUGUUUCUUUGUGUGUGUAUUUAUUUAUUUUUUAACCCAAGAGGGAAUUUCUGCUAACUGGUGCCCUUUUACAAACAAAACCCAUUCUGGCUUUAACCAUGUCAGACACGUAUAGCGAGUCAAUGAGUGAGCCUGUUCAUGAGAAUGUUUAUAAACUGAAGGCAGCAGUGGAUGGCUUUCCAGGAAAAGGCAGGUAUCCCAUUCCUAAGAAACUUGCAUGGCUCCUAUCAGUGGGAAAAAGAUAGAUAAGGAAGAAGAGAGCU